GGGCGAGUGGCGGAAUUGGUAGACGCGCAGCGUUCAGGGCGCUGUGAGAGCAAUCUCGUGGGAGUUCGACUCUCCCCUCGCCCA
RNAcentral lists this transfer RNA (84 nucleotides) under bacterium. RNAcentral describes it as "tRNA-Leu". It matches the Rfam family "tRNA". From Rfam's summary of the family: Transfer RNA (tRNA) molecules are approximately 80 nucleotides in length. Their secondary structure includes four short double-helical elements and three loops (D, anti-codon, and T loops). Further hydrogen bonds mediate the characteristic L-shaped molecular structure. tRNAs have two regions of fundamental functional importance: the anti-codon, which is responsible for specific mRNA codon recognition, and the 3' end, to which the tRNAs corresponding amino acid is attached (by aminoacyl-tRNA synthetases). tRNAs cope with the degeneracy of the genetic code in two manners: having more than one tRNA (with a specific anti-codon) for a particular amino acid; and 'wobble' base-pairing, i.e. permitting non-standard base-pairing at the 3rd anti-codon position. The record is from RNAcentral.